AACGAACGUUAGCGGCGCGCUUAACACAUGCAAGUCGCACGAGAAAGGGCUUCGGCCCCGGUACAGUGGCGCACGGGUGAGUAACACGUGGGUAAUCUUCCCUCUGGCGGGGGAUAACCUUCCGAAAGGAGGGCUAAUACCGCAUAAGACCACGACUUCGAAAGGAGACGAGGUUAAAGCUGGCCUCUAUACAUAAGCUAGCACCAGAGGAUGAGCCCGCGGCCCAUCAGGUAGUUGGUAGGGUAACGGCCUACCAAGCCUAAGACGGGUAGCUGGUCUGAGAGGAUGAUCAGCCACACUGGAACUGAGACACGGUCCAGACUCCUACGGGAGGCAGCAGUGGGGAAUCUUGCGCAAUGGACGAAAGUCUGACGCAGCGACCGCCGCCGUGGGUGAUGAAGGCCUUCGGGUUGUAAAGCCCUGUGGGGAGAGACCAAUAAGUUG
This 444-nucleotide ribosomal RNA is filed under the name uncultured Polyangium sp. RNAcentral describes it as "bacterial SSU rRNA". It matches the Rfam family "Bacterial small subunit ribosomal RNA", at positions 29 to 456 of the family's 1533-position model. The record is from RNAcentral. Lineage: Bacteria; Pseudomonadati; Myxococcota; Polyangiales; Polyangiaceae.